RNAcentral lists this ribosomal RNA (403 nucleotides) under uncultured Acidimicrobiales bacterium. RNAcentral's name for it is "bacterial SSU rRNA". It matches the Rfam family "Bacterial small subunit ribosomal RNA", at positions 353 to 772 of the family's 1533-position model. Lineage: Bacteria; Bacillati; Actinomycetota; Acidimicrobiia; Acidimicrobiales. The record is from RNAcentral.
AGUGGGGAAUCUUGCGCAAUGGGCGAAAGCCUGACGCAGCAACGCCGCGUGCGGGAUGAAGGCUCUCGGGUUGUAAACCGCUUUCAGGAGGGACGAAAAUGACGGUACCUCCAGAAGAAGCCCCGGCCAACUACGUGCCAGCAGCCGCGGUAACACGUAGGGGGCGAGCGUUGUCCGGAUUUAUUGGGCGUAAAGAGCUCGUAGGCGGUUUGGCAAGUCGGGUGUGAAAUUUCGAGGCUCAACCUCGAGACGCCACUCGAUACUGCCAUGACUGGAGUCCGGUAGAGGAGUGCGGAAUUCCUGGUGUAGCGGUGAAAUGCGCAGAUAUCAGGAGGAACACCAACGGCGAAGGCAGCACUCUGGGCCGGUACUGACGCUGAGGAGCGAAAGCGUGGGGAGCAAA